AAACUAUCUGACAGCGUAAAGUUGCUUGUCACGGCAGAGGGUUAUGUGCUGUGACACGCUGUGGCAGUUUGAUGAAAUCUCCUGUGAGUGAUUACACUGUCAUUGUGACCAAGAUUAAAGUAAAGAUGGAGUUUCCCAGAACCCUGAAGCUGAGAUGACACUACCAGUUGCCCAGCCUCAGGGCAGAUCAGGGGCAGAGGGAUAAACUGUCACCCUGGAGGGGUUGAGGAGCUGUCUCAGGUGUCAGGUUAUUAUACUGCUAUGAGAGGAUCCUGAGAGCUCUUCUGCAGUGUGCUGUGAAUGUUCAGACCACUGCGGUCUUGCUCCUUCAUGUGGGAUUAUAAAUGUAAUGGUGUGAAUUCUUACAGGAUGAAAGAGAUCUUGAGCAAAUGUGCACUUUUGUGUCGGUGAGAGGGUGUCAUUCUCUGGAAAAUAGCAGCAUGUGUGCCUGAUUUUUUUUUUUUUUCAGGAAAAUGUUAAUAUUUGAAU
This is a non-coding RNA of Pimephales promelas (fathead minnow), 489 nucleotides long. NCBI's taxonomy places the organism in Eukaryota, Metazoa, Chordata, Actinopteri, Cypriniformes, Leuciscidae. The record is from RefSeq and is a predicted model, not a curated record.